RNAcentral lists this transfer RNA (76 nucleotides) under Lacticaseibacillus paracasei. RNAcentral describes it as "tRNA-Met". It matches the Rfam family "tRNA". Rfam says of the family: Transfer RNA (tRNA) molecules are approximately 80 nucleotides in length. RNAcentral also lists the same sequence under 1 other name. Lineage: Bacteria; Bacillati; Bacillota; Bacilli; Lactobacillales; Lactobacillaceae. The record is from RNAcentral.
UCGCGGGAUGGAGCAGUUCGGUAGCUCGUCGGGCUCAUAACCCGAAGGUCGUAGGUUCAAAUCCUGCUCCCGCAAU